GAAUUCAAGGGUCAAAAUUUCCGGUUCCUUCCAUUUGGGAGUGGAAGAAGAGGAUGCCCUGGUGCAUCCCUUGCUAUGAUGAUCAUGCAUGCUGCAGUAGGGGCCUUGGUUCAGUGCUUUGAUUGGAAAAUCAAGGAUGGGAAGGAGGUGGAUUUAACCUUAGGACCUGGCUUUGCAGCAGAAAUGGCUCAUCCACUCGUGUGCUACCCUAUUAAGCACAUGAACGCAUAUUAGGAGAGCCACCAUGGAACUCUCAUCGAUCGAUCAUUUACUUCUUUGUUUAGUAAGGUGUGCCUAUAUAUGUACUUUGAAAGUCCUUAGGUUUGGUUGUUUUAGGAACAUGCAAGUACGUACUUCCCUCUAUCAGUACCUGGGACAAAGUUAUGAUUUGAAAUAUAAAUUGAAAUAAAUUAAUGUAUGUGUAUUUUACCUUGUGCACACCUUAAUUUGUCUUAUAUCUUUGUUGUUGUAAAAUUUAAUGAUAUUGAAACUCUAACUACCAAUACUUAAUCAAUUAGAUUGAGAUAGAUAUAAGAAAAAUAAUUAUAUAUAAUUCCACAGAAAAUGAUAAAAUUAAUAUUUUCACAUAUUAAAUUUUUUUAUUUUUAUUCUCUCCUGUUUUUCUUUCUUGUUUCUCAUGUUUAUAUCCAUAAUGCUUGGUAGAAUUCCAAAUCAAUAUAUAAUUACUGCAAAGUAUUUUUUUUCAACAAAUUCGGAAACAUAAUGAGGAAAAAUAACUCAAUUUUAUGAAUUAUUUUAAAUAAAAUAAAUAGUAAUAAAAAGGAACUGAAUUUGAAGAAAAACUAAAUUGAAAGGAUUUUUUAAAAAUUUACAGGAGAGAGAAAGCAAGAAAAAAAAAUAUUAUAUAUACUAAGACAGCAUAAUUGAUAAUUUAAAUUUCUGAAUUACGUUGACCUGAUCUCAUUGUUAAAAAUAUUGUAUUAAGAACUCCUUUUUGCAAGCAAAAUUAUUGGUACUUUAUCAGCAGUUUAAUUAUCAACCCAUGCUAUAUGGCUUUGGCAAAGUAAGGGUCAAGCAAAUCCAUAAGGCCUAGCUACAGGGCAUCAAACACUGCGAGUCAAUGGCGUUGAUGUAAAGUCAAAGCUAGCUACAAGCCUAGCUUGUAGCUAGCUAGUCAACGCCUAUUCGAAUCUCGAUGACGAUGAGGGACAUAACACGUGGAUUUUUGAGUUUUUUAAGAUAUGUUUAUAUCUUGUUUAUUUUUACAUUUUAAAAAUAUAUUUUUUAAAAGUUUAUUAUUAUUUUUAUUUCAAAUUAAUUUUAUUUAGUGUUUUCAGAUCGUUUUGAUGUACUGAUAUCAAAAAUAUUUUUUUAGAACAAAAAAAAAAUUAUUUUGAUGUAUUUCCGAACAAAAAAUACUUGAAAAAACAACCGCUAUUAUACUCUUAAAUACCUAAAUUUAAAUUUCUAAUGUAAUCAUGGGGGGAUCUUGAUGAUCAACAUGAAAUAAUGAAAAUGCAUCAAACUAUUAUCACAUUGCUUUAUACAAGGGCAUUGAUCUAUCAGAUAUAUAUGCUAGCUAGAAACACUUUAUAUUUGGUUGAUCAAAGCUCGAUUGCAUGUAAAGUAAAUGAUGGGCAAUCUACCGGGAAAACAAAAUGUAAUGAUAUUGGCAAAUAUAUAGUUGUAAGUGUUUGCUUCUUGAAGUGCGUUAAUGCAUGUGAGCAUGUGCUGCACUUGCAAGUAAUUAGUACUAAUUAAUAUAAUCAUGUAAGUUUAUCAAUAUUAUAAAUAGUAAAAGUUCAAUGGUUUGAAUUGGGGGUUUGUAGACGAAAGAAUUCAUGCAAGCAAUUGUAUAUGUACAAUCUUAAGCACUAGAUUGAAAAUCACAAUAAAAACCUCUUCCAUUUGUGUAAAUGUUAUAAAACUUGCUGCUCAUGGCCACUGAUAUUGAUCAUGGUUUUGCAUAUUAUUGCUACCUUGGCAGCAGUUGGAUCGCCAUUAUCCUUGUGGUGCAACUCUUCAUCAAAACAUGCACCAGCUUUUGCACCAAGACUCGCCACCCACCAAGCCCUCCAGCCCUACCCAUCAUUGGCCAUCUUCACCUUUUAAGCUCAAGGCUACCAAGCUCCCUCAAAACACUUGCUAGCCAAUAUGGCCCCCUCAUGCUAAUACGUUUUGGAUCAACACCUAUUUUUGUUGUGUCCGAUGCCAAAACAGCCAAGGAGAUACUGAAAAUCCAUGAUGUUGAUUUUGCCUCUAAGUAUACACUCGCUUUUGGCCUCUCAAGAUUUGACAUUUAUGAUGGAUAUACUUUUUUCAAUGCCGAGUAUGGCACAUAUUGGCGGUUCAUGAAGAAGCUAUGCAUGACCAAACUAUUCGCUGGCACGCAACUGGAUCGAUUCAUCCAUAUCCGAGAGCAAGAGACGUUGAAGCUUCUAAAAUCACUGGUGGAAAGGUCAAGAGAGGGGAAGCCAUGUGAUUUAGGCGAGGAGCUUUCAGUCUUCUCGAGUAAUAUAAUUUGUAGAAUGGCAAUUGGCAAGAGAUGCAUGGAAAACCCUAAUUUACCUAUAGACAUAAGGGAGGUGGUAGGGGAUAUAAUGAAAAAUGCAGCAAAGUUUAGUUUCAAUGGAGUUUUUGGUCCUUUAAGCAGAUUUGACUUUUUAGGAAAAGGGAAAAGGCUCGUUUCAGCGACUUGGAAGUAUGACCGGCUAAUGGAGCAGCUGAUGAAGAAAUAUGAAGAAAAGGUUGAGUUGAUCAACGGUGGUGACGAAGGGGAGAAAGACGUGAUGGACAUUUUAAUGGAGACGUAUAAAGACACAAAUUCUGAAUUGAAGUUAACAAGGAGGCACAUAAAAAAAUUCUUCCUGGUGAGUUCUUUAAUCUUAAUGGUUUCGCUGAGUGCAGAGUUUUGUUAUUAUUAUUAUUUUUUUUUUUUUGAACUUUCCUAUUUAAAGUUUGAAAAAUUUAAAAAUAUUAUAUUAUUUGUUGAUUAUAUCAAAUUUAACCUUAAACUUUUGAUAUAUAUAUAUAUAUAUAUAUAUAUAUAUAUAUAUAUAUAUAUUGUUUUGAAUAUUUAUUUUUCAAUUUCAUCCCUUAGAAUUUAAUUUUUAUAUUAAUUUUGGUCCUCAUUUUUAUAAUUGUUAUUUGCUUUUCACUUAUUAUUUUUUAAUUGAAAUUUUUUAUCUAUCAAAUUUGGUCCCUAUUCUUUUGAUUGGUACUUAUUUUAUUUGGAAUAAUUUAUGAAAUGUUAAUUAUUAUUAUUUUAAUUUCUUUAUCUUUCAAUUUUUUUAUUUUUUAGAUUUGAUCUCUAUUAUUUUGAUUAUUAUUUAUUUUAUUUGAGAUAAUUUAUGAAAUUAUAUUUUUUUUUCAAUUUCAUUCUCAUUCAACUUUUUAAUUUGUAAGAUUUGUUCCUUAUUAUUUUAAUAAACUUGAAAAAAUAAAACAUUAAUAAAUUAUUUUUCAGCUCAUUUUACAUGACAUAACCAAACACUGAAAAAAAAAUAAAAUAUUAAUAAAUUAUUUUCAGCUCAUUUUCCAUGACAUAACCAAACACUGGAAAAUGUUUUCCAACUUAUUUUUCAUUACACUACCAAACAUUAGAAAAUAAUUUACUUUUUUAAAAUUUAUUUUUUAAAAUUUUUUUUUUCCAACAAACAAACAAAAAAGAAAAGAAUCAUUGCCCAAACUUUCCAGUGACCUCUCUAAUUUUGGAAAUCUACACUGACAAAUAAAGUGCUGUCUAAGUUUGUUUUUUUCUUAAUCGGCCAACCAUUAAGAGAAUAAUCAAGAUUUAAUAAUUGGCCCUCCAGUCAUCGUAGAGGACAGUCCCCGAAGAUUAAUGUCCAUAAUGAGAAAGGCGGACCACAAGAUGUCCUUUUGAUGAGAAAAGCGGACCACAAAAUGUAUCAUGCCACCUUCAGUAAUGUGCAAAGGGCGACGAAUUCCAUUUUAAGAUUUCGCAAUCAGAUUUUGGUAUAACAAAUCCCAUAUUUUUUUUAUCAAAACCCAAGAUAGCGAUCCCAUAUUUAAUUUUCAAGCCAUCCCAACAAAAUAAUAAAAGAUAUUAUUAUUAUUAAAAAAUAAUAAAAGAUAUUAAUUUAAUAUAUUUUAGUGUAUGUAUACACCGGGGAUUUAACAUCUCGCAGCUCAACUGACAUGUAUAUUUUUUUUUUGGCUGGCGAACUACAACAAAAACAAUAAUAUAUAAGAGUCAAGUGCAUGCAAUUUCUCUAUAUAAGCACAUCAUAAACUUUCAUUACUUACAAGUGUAAAACCCAAGAGAAAACCUCAAUCCAAACUAGCUAUAGCUACAACUGAUAUGUUCUAUUACCUCAUCUUCCUUCUUUGGUUUGUCACUGCGCUACUAGCACACUUCUUCAUCAAAAUAUUCUUAAGAUCCCGUAGUCAAAACAACCUCCCACCGAGCCCGCCAGCUCUACCUGUCAUUGGCCACCUACACCUAAUUGGGUCGGUCCUUGCAAAAUCUUUCCAAACCCUUGCCGUUCGUUAUGGUCCACUCAUGCAGAUUCGUCUAGGGGCAUCAACAUGUGUUGUUGCUUCUAAUGCUGUGGUGGCCAAAGAAAUAUUUAAGACCCAAGAUAUCAAUUUUUCCUCUAGACCUGAAUUUGGCUCCUCCGAAUACUUCAUUUAUAGAGGAUCAAGAUUCGUCACUGCCCAAUAUGGUGAUUAUUGGCGGUUCAUGAAAAAACUAUGCAUGACAAGGCUCCUUUCUGUCCCUCAACUUGAGAAAUUCACCGACAUCCUUGAUGAAGAGAAGGUCAAGCUUGUCGAAUCGGUGAUGGGGUGUGCUAGGGAAGGGAAAUUGUGUGAUUUAAGUAGUGAGUUUACAGCCUUGACAAACAAUAGUAUUUGUAGGAUGACAAUGAGCACACGAUGCUCAGGCAGUAAUAAUGAUGCUGAUCAGAUUAAGCGGUUGGUUAAGACAUGUUUACAGCUUGCAGGAAAGUUAAGUUUAGGGGAUGUUUUGGGUCCUUUCAAGAUUUUUGACUUCUCUGGGAAUGGGAAAAAGCUAGUUGGUGCACUACAAGCCUAUGAUAGGUUAGUGGAGAGGAUACUCAAGGAGCAUGAAGAGAAGGCAAAUAAAGGUUUUGAGGAAGGGGAGAGGAGGGAUUUGAUGGACAUAUUGUUGGAGAUAUAUAAUGAUCCAACUGCUGAAAUUAAAGUAUCUAAAAAUGACAUCAAGUCCUUCUUGCUUGUAAGUUCCUUCUCUUUACCUUCUACGAAUACAUGUGGCUCUCUUGUAUAUUUCUUCAAUUAUUGGCAUUGCUAACAUCUACAAUAUGUGCUUAAUUAGGACUUAUUCUUUGCCGGGACAGACACAUCAGCAACAGCCAUGCAAUGGGCUAUGGGAGAGCUCAUCAACAAUCCCAAGGCAUUCAAGAGGCUUAGAGAUGAGAUCAACACAGUUGUUGGGCCUAAUAGACUUGUUAAGGAAUCAGAUGUCCCAAACCUCCCUUACCUUAAAGCAGUCAUGAGAGAAACACUAAGACUUCACCCUUCAGCACCUUUAAUCAUCAGAGAAUGCGCUGAAGAUUGCAAGGUCAACGGCUCUGUCGUUAAGGCCAAGACAAGAGUUCUUGUCAAUGUCUAUGCAGUCAUGAGGGACCCGGAAUCAUGGGCUAAUCCCGACGAAUUCAUGCCUGAAAGGUUUUUGGAGAGCUCCGAGGAGAAAAUUGGCGAGCAUCAGAUGGAAUUCAAGGGUCAAAAUUUCCGGUUCCUUCCAUUUGGGAGUGGAAGAAGAGGAUGCCCUGGUGCAUCCCUUGCUAUGAUGAUCAUGCAUGCUGCAGUAGGGGCCUUGGUUCAGUGCUUUGAUUGGAAAAUCAAGGAUGGGAAGGAGGUGGAUUUAACCUUAGGACCUGGCUUUGCAGCAGAAAUGGCUCAUCCACUCGUGUGCUACCCUAUUAAGCACAUGAACGCAUAUUAGGAGAGCCACCAUGGAACUCUCAUC
RNAcentral lists this long non-coding RNA (5932 nucleotides) under Populus trichocarpa (black cottonwood). Its description in RNAcentral is "long non-coding RNA (PTRI_LNC001685)". Lineage: Eukaryota; Viridiplantae; Streptophyta; Magnoliopsida; Malpighiales; Salicaceae. The record is from RNAcentral.